Molecule: long non-coding RNA, 334 nt
Filed under: Homo sapiens (human)
Lineage: Eukaryota; Metazoa; Chordata; Mammalia; Primates; Hominidae
Description: HSALNT0388166
Source: RNAcentral
GCGCAAGCAAAGACGUCCUUCGAGGGAACCUUUUCUCCUCCUGGCGGACAAGAGUGGAACGACAGGGCUUGAGGAGAAGUUUUGCCAGAAAAGGAAAUUGAAACUCAGAGAAGGUGACUUACCCAGAGUACCACAGCUAAUUAGUGAGACGGCUGGAGCCCAGGUCUGUGUGCUCCAGAGAUUCUGACUGCAGCCCUCACCUGUUGGCUCUGGACUUGGAGAAAGGAGAGCUGCUUCUCUGCAGCUGAAGAGGCUCUGCAAGAAGCCCAGAACAGGCAGGGCGCUAUAGCUCACGCAGUAGAGAUGGGGUUUCACCAUGAUAGCCAGGAUGGUC